Molecule: long non-coding RNA, 495 nt
Organism: Boleophthalmus pectinirostris (great blue-spotted mudskipper)
Lineage: Eukaryota; Metazoa; Chordata; Actinopteri; Gobiiformes; Gobiidae
Exons: 3
Source: RefSeq, a predicted model, not a curated record
UCUAACAGACUAAAUUGGUUUUACCGUCAAAUCCAACUCUGAACUGAGAUGAUUUAUACAUUAACUUUUAACGUGUUUUAAUCUGUCUUAAAUGUGACGACAAUGAAUCAUGCGUCGAGUUUAGGGAAGUUAAGUGUGUUCAUAGUGUGUUAAGAAAAUGGGACGCUGCAGGGCGAUGUGGAUCUGAGCAUCAUGAGAUAAACCUGGACCUGCUUAAAGUUUAAAGUCACGUAAAUGCAAGAUAAUGACCCAAGACACAAGUCCAAGCUCUGCCAAAACUACCUCAGAAAAAAAGAACAAGAUGGUAAAGCUUGAAAACAUGGAGUGUCCAGCACAGUCUCCAGAUUUAAACCCCAUCGAGCUGGUUUUGGAUGAACUGGACAGAAGAGAGAAAGUCAAACAACCUACAAGUGCCACAUAUUUAUGGAAACUUCAGCAAAAGACUUGGGAAGAACUUUCUGAAAAAAUAUUUGAGAAAGAACGCCACGCUACUUU